CUACGUAGGGUGCGAGCGUUGUCCGGAAUUACUGGGCGUAAAGAGCUCGUAGGUGGUUUGUCGCGUCGUCUGUGAAAUUCCGGGGCUUAACUCCGGGCGUGCAGGCGAUACGGGCAUAACUUGAGUACUGUAGGGGAGACUGGAAUUCCUGGUGUAGCGGUGAAAUGCGCAGAUAUCAGGAGGAACACCGGUGGCGAAGGCGGGUCUCUGGGCAGUAACGGACGCUGAGGAGCGAAAGCAUGGGUAGCGAACAGGAUUAGAUACCCUGGUAGUCCAUGCCGUAAACGGUGGGCGCUAGGUGUAGGGGUCUUCCACGACUUCUGUGCCGUAGCUAACGCAUUAAGCGCCCCGCCUGGGGAGUACGGCCGCAAGGCUAAAACUCAAAUGAAUUGACGGGG
RNAcentral lists this ribosomal RNA (398 nucleotides) under uncultured bacterium. RNAcentral describes it as "partial 16S ribosomal RNA". It matches the Rfam family "Bacterial small subunit ribosomal RNA", at positions 523 to 918 of the family's 1533-position model. The record is from RNAcentral.